UUCCAGCUCCAAUAGCGUAUAUUAAAGUUGUUGCAGUUAAAAAGCUCGUAGUUGGACUUCAAGAAGCGCAUCUGGGCAACCAGUUUGCCUUCUACCAGCCCUAGGCUGUUACUGUGAGAAAAUUAGAGUGUUUCAAGCAGGCUUUUGCAGGAAUACAUUAGCAUGGAAUAACGAAUGUGUCUACAAUUUGGUUGAUUGUAGGUUACAAUUAAUAGGGACAGUUGGGGGCAUUAGUAUUUAAUAGUCAGAG
RNAcentral lists this ribosomal RNA (250 nucleotides) under uncultured archaeon. RNAcentral describes it as "partial 16S ribosomal RNA". It matches the Rfam family "Eukaryotic small subunit ribosomal RNA", at positions 583 to 910 of the family's 1831-position model. The record is from RNAcentral.